GGAGACUACUCCUCCCAGCAUGCCUGGCGAGGCGCGCACCGCGCUGGCCCUCUCUCCUGGGACACGCACCGCCUCCAAUCCUGGUUUAUGCUGGGAUUGUAGUCAGGCAGCCCUGUGAGCAAUUUUUCAGAUUAACUCUUAAGUACUCCACGGCUACAUGCUCCUGAAGCUGUUAUAGGCCCAGCCUCAGAUCUGUGCAGGGCGGAUGCACAAGAGCAGAAUCUCCGUGGACAUCUUUCUGGAGCAUCAAUUUUACUGCAAGAUUUUGAAGAAACACAUUUAAUUGAUUUUCAAGGUACAUAGGAAGUACAUGGAAUCAGAUGUUUGCCAUAGCUUGCUAACGAAUUCUCUCCUGCAUCAAGAUGGCAUGCCUCUCAACAGGACACUCUUAGGAGGCUGGAAUGUGUUAAAAUUAGUAUGUGAUCUGUUUUUGGUGAAGAGCCAUCUGACUCUCAACUGUACAUGGUAGCCUUAAUGCACAUCUUGGUAGAAAAGGGCUGCAUCUCAGAGGCUGCCAGCCAAGCCAUACAGGCCAAGGGAAGUCUGAGUCCAUUAUUCAUUUUAUCAAUCUGUUGUAGUGAACAGCUAGAUUAUUAUGAACAUUGUACACAUUUUACCAUAUUCCUUUGCUCUUCCUAGGGCAUUUGUUCCAGGAUUCUUCUUGGAUACCAAAAUGCAUGGAUGCAUAAGCUCCUUUUAUAAAGUGGCAUAGUAUUUACAUAUAACCAAUGCAUAUACUCCUGCAUACUUUAAAUAAUCUCUAGAUUACUUGUAAUACCUAAAUUGUUAUGCUUUAUUGUUUAAGAAAUAACAUAAAGAAAAAAGUCUGUACAUGUUUAGUAGAGAUGCUUUAUAAGAAAUAUUUUUGAUUUACAUCUUUUGAAUCCAGGAUUGCAGAAACCGUGAAUGAGGAGGGCUGACUCUAUCUAUGUUUGGAGUCUGUGAAUAUGAACUCUUCCUAUGUUGGUAAAUGGAAAUUUCUUUCACCAAA
Long non-coding RNA from Homo sapiens (human), 991 nucleotides. The record is from Ensembl. NCBI's taxonomy places the organism in Eukaryota, Metazoa, Chordata, Mammalia, Primates, Hominidae.